This 322-nucleotide ribosomal RNA is filed under the name uncultured bacterium. RNAcentral describes it as "bacterial SSU rRNA". It matches the Rfam family "Bacterial small subunit ribosomal RNA", at positions 28 to 334 of the family's 1533-position model. The record is from RNAcentral.
GACGAACGCUGGCGGCGUGCCUAAUACAUGCAAGUCGAACGAACGGAUUGAGGAGCUUGCUCUUCAAGAAGUUAGUGGCGGACGGGUGAGUAACACGUGGGUAACCUGCCCUUCAGCGGGGGAUAACAUCCGGAAACGGGUGCUAAUGCCGCAUAGUUUCUUUUUCCGCCUGGAAGAAGAAGGAAAGAUGGCCUUUGUGCUAUCACUGAGGGAUGGACCCGCGGCGUAUUAGCUAGUUGGUAAGGUAGCGGCUUACCAAGGCAACGAUACGUAGCCGACCUGAGAGGGUGAUCGGCCACACUGGAACUGAGACACGGUCCAG